UACGGAGGGUGCAAGCGUUUAUCCGGAUUUAUUGGGUUUAAAGGGUCCGUAGGCGGUUUUGUAAGUCAGUGGUGAAAGCCCAUCGCUCAACGGUGGAACGGCCAUUGAUACUGCAAGACUUGAAUUAUUGGGAAGUAACUAGAAUAUGUAGUGUAGCGGUGAAAUGCUUAGAGAUUACAUGGAAUACCAAUUGCGAAGGCAGGUUACUACCAAUAU
RNAcentral lists this ribosomal RNA (216 nucleotides) under uncultured bacterium. RNAcentral describes it as "partial 16S ribosomal RNA". It matches the Rfam family "Bacterial small subunit ribosomal RNA", at positions 524 to 738 of the family's 1533-position model. The record is from RNAcentral.